This 1199-nucleotide ribosomal RNA is filed under the name Micrococcus sp. RNAcentral's name for it is "bacterial SSU rRNA". It matches the Rfam family "Bacterial small subunit ribosomal RNA", at positions 123 to 1333 of the family's 1533-position model. The record is from RNAcentral. Lineage: Bacteria; Bacillati; Actinomycetota; Actinomycetes; Micrococcales; Micrococcaceae.
GGCUGCCCCUUAAGUCUGGGAUAAGCCUGGGAAACUGGGUCUAAUACCGGAUAGGAGCGCCUACCGCAUGGUGGGUGUUGGAAAGAUUUAUCGGUUUUGGAUGGACUCGCGGCCUAUCAGCUUGUUGGUGAGGUAAUGGCUCACCAAGGCGACGACGGGUAGCCGGCCUGAGAGGGUGACCGGCCACACUGGGACUGAGACACGGCCCAGACUCCUACGGGAGGCAGCAGUGGGGAAUAUUGCACAAUGGGCGCAAGCCUGAUGCAGCGACGCCGCGUGAGGGAUGACGGCCUUCGGGUUGUAAACCUCUUUCAGUAGGGAAGAAGCGAAAGUGACGGUACCUGCAGAAGAAGCACCGGCUAACUACGUGCCAGCAGCCGCGGUAAUACGUAGGGUGCGAGCGUUAUCCGGAAUUAUUGGGCGUAAAGAGCUCGUAGGCGGUUUGUCGCGUCUGUCGUGAAAGUCCGGGGCUUAACCCCGGAUCUGCGGUGGGUACGGGCAGACUAGAGUGCAGUAGGGGAGACUGGAAUUCCUGGUGUAGCGGUGGAAUGCGCAGAUAUCAGGAGGAACACCGAUGGCGAAGGCAGGUCUCUGGGCUGUAACUGACGCUGAGGAGCGAAAGCAUGGGGAGCGAACAGGAUUAGAUACCCUGGUAGUCCAUGCCGUAAACGUUGGGCACUAGGUGUGGGGACCAUUCCACGGUUUCCGCGCCGCAGCUAACGCAUUAAGUGCCCCGCCUGGGGAGUACGGCCGCAAGGCUAAAACUCAAAGGAAUUGACGGGGGCCCGCACAAGCGGCGGAGCAUGCGGAUUAAUUCGAUGCAACGCGAAGAACCUUACCAAGGCUUGACAUGUUCUCGAUCGCCGUAGAGAUACGGUUUCCCCUUUGGGGCGGGUUCACAGGUGGUGCAUGGUUGUCGUCAGCUCGUGUCGUGAGAUGUUGGGUUAAGUCCCGCAACGAGCGCAACCCUCGUUCCAUGUUGCCAGCACGUCGUGGUGGGGACUCAUGGGAGACUGCCGGGGUCAACUCGGAGGAAGGUGAGGACGACGUCAAAUCAUCAUGCCCCUUAUGUCUUGGGCUUCACGCAUGCUACAAUGGCCGGUACAAUGGGNUUGCGAUACUGUGAGGUGGAGCUAAUCCCAAAAAGCCGGUCUCAGUUCGGAUUGGGGUCUGCAACUCGACCCCAUGAAGUCGGAGUC